GCACUCACGUUGGCAGCACAUAUACUAAAACUGGAACAAUACAGAGAACAUUAGCAUGGCCCCUGUGCAAGGAUGACAGGAAAAUUUAUAAAUGUUUCAUAUUAAA
Small nuclear RNA from Mustela putorius furo (domestic ferret), 106 nucleotides. The record is from Ensembl. Lineage: Eukaryota; Metazoa; Chordata; Mammalia; Carnivora; Mustelidae.